GGUAGGGAAUCGUGGCAGAAUUCGCGGAUCCGUCGGGCACAAGGUAUGUAUGCGGGAUUUUCGUUUUGUUUUCUCCUCUCUUUUGUUUGGUUUAUACAGAGGUUAACAUAAAAAGGGUACUAAGCAAAAUAAAAUUAUAUAUUCUGAUGAUUUAUUUUAUAAGUUUGGGAUUAAGGAGAAGAUGAGAUAUGUAAAAUAACCAAGGCGAAGGCAAGAGAUAAGAUAUCUAGUGAUUUUAAUUAAGUUAGAUGGAUUAGAUAAUAUAAAAUAGGUAAAUACAACAUCAAUGAAAGAUGAAAAUAUUAUUUUUAAAAAUUAUUAAGUGGGAUUUUUGAGUAAAAUAUUUUGACAGAGCAUAAUUAAAAUAAUAAAUAUAUUGAUUAAAAAAAGGAGUUGUGUUAACUUUGAAGAGGAUGCAUAAUGAUAAAAUUUAGAUUCAUAUAAAAUAUCUAUUGAUAAAGCAUUCAUGUUUGACCACAACUGAGAAAAAAAUUCAUGUAGCUGACCCCACAUUGUGAGAUAAAGGCUUGAUAUUGUUGUUGAUAAAUAUGUAUUGAGAUUUGGAGAGUUGUGGAUUUUGCAAUGUUUUAAUCAACAAAUUCUUUCAAUGGAAAUUUGAAUAUUAAGAGAAUGCUAAAUGAUUGAAGAAGUAUUUUAGUACCAAUAUUUAAGUAUAAAAAGAGAUGUGUUGGGGAGAUGAGGAGUAAAGACCACAAUGACGAAACUAGCAAGAAAGUAAAAGCACCAAAAAAGUAAAGGACACCAGGAUUUAACAUGGAAAAACCCAAAAUAGAGAAAAAAACUACGAAGUCACACCAUACCAAGAAAUCCACUAUGCAAAUUGGGAGAAAUAAGUACAUAUAUCUCUUCUCUAUCGCUCUCUCCUUACUUCUCUUCUCACAUACACCGUUUUCAAUGUCUACAUACACAAAAUACAAGAGAAAGCCAUGUAAAAUAUCCCCAAGGGAUGUAACCCUUCAGAAAAAUGAGAAAGAAAACCGCCCAGUCCGUCUCGCAGUGCUGCGGCGCUCAAGCCUCUGUCUUGCAUCGUUGCAGCGUCGUAUCUAUACCGCCGCUGUGUCGUAACUAUACUGUUGUGGUGCUCUGCUCUUUAUUGUUCAGUGUCGAGAGCUCGGGUAUGCAUCGUUGAGGCGUUGUACGAAAAAAGAAAAUUCGGGUGCAAAGUACUAGAACCCAAGCAGGGGAUAAAUCCUUCGCACCCCCCAGCGAACACGAAAAGCUUUGAGAUUCGAGACAACAUAAUAAUCAGAUUGAUCAAUACAAUCAGAUUCCACAUAACAAGAUGUCCAUAAUUGGGUUAACCAUAGAUAAAUUAAAUUUAUGAGUCAUAGUUACAAGGGAAGAGUAAAGGAAUAUAGAAAAAUUUUAGCACCCUUGAAGAAUUAAUUUAUUUUAUACUGCAAUGAUUAUUUAUGAUGGAUGUUCAAAAUAGGUUCUUUGGUGUAUACUUUUCUCAAAUAACAUAGUCCCAAUCAAUAAGAGAUCUGCUGGUAUAAGUGGACAUUAUAAUAUUAGCGAAAGUAUUUAGAAGACAAAGUGCACAGAAUUAGUAGGAUAGAAAUUGAGUGUAUUAUAUGCAAUUGUAAUGGAUGUGAUGUGAUAUUACUAGCUAUAAGUCAAAAUUAUUAAAACAUAAAGCAAUACUUACAUGUGAUAAUUUUAGGUAUUUUAGAUUUAUUAUAUAAAAGAGUGAGAAUAUAAAUGAUAACAUAACUCUUUGAUUCAAUCCUGAUUAGUAAGCAUGGAUAAGUGUCUAAUGAGUAUAUUAUGAAAUAAGAGAAUAUUAUGGAGAAUUUAACAUAAAUUUUAGAAAUUUAUAAUUAAACCGAAUAUAUUAUUUGGAUCACAGUGCUUAACAGUAAAAAAAAUCAUCAUCAACUAGUUUGAGUGAGAUGAUAAAAUGAAUGUGUGAUAAAAUUAUGAGGGUUAACUAGGAAUGGUUCUAGUGACUUAUAAUGAAUAUAAGAUAUUUUGUAAGGGCCUUAGUUGAUUUGGACUUAUACAUUGAAGGAAAAUGCUCACAUUAGACUUGUAGAUAAAAUUAUUGUUGGAGGAAUGGGUAAACUUAAGGUAAUAUGGAUAGAAGUGAUUCAAAGUACUUUAUGGGGAGUUUGACAUCUCAAGCAACGCCUAACAAAAAUGAAUUUAAAGUGAUGGUUUCUUAAUCCAAUCCCUAAUAAUUUGUAUAAGGCCUUAUGAUGAUUAUUAUGAUAAUGACGAUGAUGAUGAUUCAUCAAUAAAAUUGUUAUAUGUUCAUGACAAAAACAUGCAUUCACUUGCAUUAAUAUAAGUGAUUCUUGACAGUGAGUGUAUGGUGAUAAUUCUGAAGACUGAAAUAGAUUAAUUUCUUGUUCUAUAGUUCUAUUCUAUUUUUGCAAUAAUCUUGAAUGUUUUAAUUGAUACAUAAGUUUAUUUUCCCAUGUUUUUGUGUUCAGCUGUUAAUGAGUUUGUCUAGAAAACAUGGCAAACUAACCUAUAUUGCUCGAGAUGUUGAGCAAUAAAUAUGUUAAAAUUGAGGAGGAAAAAAGUGAGCACUAACUAGAGUUGAUCAUUUCUUCAAGUAAAUGGCACAUCACAUAAGAAAUUAAACAACAUCCAGUACAAAAUCAAAAUGAAGUAAACCUGUUCGCCUUGUUGUUUCAUACUUCAUUAUUAUUAUUGUACAAUGCAAUUAGGAAUCAAUUAUGUUUUCUCUUUUAUAUUCUCAUAUUUUCUUUAGAUGUUAAAUUCUUAAGUGUUGCUGCUAAUGAUCAGAAUUCCUGAAAUUCUUAGAUAUGCAUGAAGCUUACCACAACUUAUGAUAAGACCUAACACGAUUCAUAUACUCAGCAUGUUGAUUUGUAUCUGGAUUCAUCAUUCUUUCAUCCACUGGUGUUACCUCAAUGUUUCAUAAGGCUAUAUCUCUUACAUUUAUAUAUCAAAUGUUUAAUCAUUUUGAUGGCUAUAUUUGUUUCUGUAUCAUGUAAUUGAGGGAUUUCUGCUGAGUUUUGACAUAUUUUUUCUUAUACUUAAAAAAUUUAUAUACAAUUGACAUUCUUUGGGAUGUUUAAUAUUUUUCCCUUAAACUGUAAGCUAUUUUCUGUAUUUUAUUUAAUUGGAAAUUGCAUCAUUCGUUAUGAAGGCUUAAAUUGAAAAUCAGUCAUUAACUUUAUGUUUAUAUUUUUUAUCCCCCUCCAUUUAAAGCUAGAUAUUUUUUGAAAUAUUGAUUAAAUGGCAAACGUAAUUAGUAAUAAGCUUUCAUGUGUUAAGUUAAAACAUCUAAUAUGAUCUGUUGCAGAUUGAAUGUUAGAUAUAAUUUCGGACAUGUGCGGAUUGAUUGGUUAAAUUAUCUGGUUUGUUCGAGAACAUUGAUUGAAUGGCUUAUGUAGAACCAACCAUGAAAAGGCAUUUAUUUUGUGGGUUUAAAUUGCUCCACGACUUGAGAAGAGCAGAUAUCUUGCAGAAACCAAGAUAUCUAAAGGUAUAGUGAGGGCAGUUAUCAAGCAGUCAUGGCACAGUCCCCACAAUGCAUAAUGUUAUUGAUAUGCAGUUUUAGCAAGGAUUUUGAUUGCCCGUCUUGGUGGCAAUUAUAUUUAUGAUAGAUAAUCACCUCAUUUUUCUUAGAGAUAUCCCGGCCUUCUUAUUUAAUUGUGCAUGAAUAUACUUUGCAUUUUCGGAACAUCAAUGAGUGUUUUUUAAAUUUAUUCAGUAUUAUUUUUACUUCUA
This is a long non-coding RNA of Dendrobium catenatum, 3726 nucleotides long. RefSeq lists it as uncharacterized. The transcript has 2 exons. Lineage: Eukaryota; Viridiplantae; Streptophyta; Magnoliopsida; Asparagales; Orchidaceae. The record is from RefSeq and is a predicted model, not a curated record.